Molecule: ribosomal RNA, 584 nt
Filed under: Shewanella sp.
Lineage: Bacteria; Pseudomonadati; Pseudomonadota; Gammaproteobacteria; Alteromonadales; Shewanellaceae
Description: bacterial SSU rRNA
Rfam family: Bacterial small subunit ribosomal RNA
Source: RNAcentral
GCAGCAGUGGGGAUAUUGCACAAUGGGGGAAACCCUGAUGCAGCCAUGCCGCGUGUGUGAAGAAGGCCUUCGGGUUGUAAAGCACUUUCAGUAGGGAGGAAAGGGUGUAGUUUAAUACGCUAUAUCUGUGACGUUACCUACAGAAGAAGGACCGGCUAACUCCGUGCCAGCAGCCGCGGUAAUACGGAGGGUCCGAGCGUUAAUCGGAAUUACUGGGCGUAAAGCGUGCGCAGGCGGUUUGUUAAGCGAGAUGUGAAAGCCCUGGGCUCAACCUAGGAAUAGCAUUUCGAACUGGCGAACUAGAGUCUUGUAGAGGGGGGUAGAAUUCCAGGUGUAGCGGUGAAAUGCGUAGAGAUCUGGAGGAAUACCGGUGGCGAAGGCGGCCCCCUGGACAAAGACUGACGCUCAUGCACGAAAGCGUGGGGAGCAAACAGGAUUAGAUACCCUGGUAGUCCACGCCGUAAACGAUGUCUACUCGGAGUUUGGUGUCUUGAACACUGGGCUCUCAAGCUAACGCAUUAAGUAGACCGCCUGGGGAGUACGGCCGCAAGGUUAAAACUCAAAUGAAUUGACGGGGGCCCGCA